CGUGUAGGCGGUCAGGUAAGUGGAAUGUGAAAUGCCCCGGCUCACCCGGGGACCGGCAUCCCAAACUGCCUGGCUUGAGUAUGGGAGAGGAUGGAGGAAUUCCUGGUGUAGCGGUGAAAUGCGUAGAUAUCAAGAGGAACACCGGUGGCGAAGGCGUCCAUCUGGCCCAAUACUGACGCUGAGGCGCGAAAGCUAGGGGAGCAAACGG
RNAcentral lists this ribosomal RNA (208 nucleotides) under uncultured Latescibacterota bacterium. Its description in RNAcentral is "uncultured Latescibacteria bacterium partial 16S ribosomal RNA". It matches the Rfam family "Bacterial small subunit ribosomal RNA", at positions 568 to 775 of the family's 1533-position model. Lineage: Bacteria; Pseudomonadati; Candidatus Latescibacterota. The record is from RNAcentral.